GAUGAAGAACGUAGCGAAAUGCGAUAAGUAAUGUGAAUUGCAGAAUUCAGUGAAUCAUCGAAUCUUUGAACGCACAUUGCGCCCGCCAGUAUUCUGGCGAGCAUGCCUGUUCGAGCGUCAUUUCACCACUCAAGCCUCGCUUGGUAUUGGGCAACGCGGUCCGCCGCGUGCCUCAAAUCGACCGGCUGGGUCUUCUGUCCCCUAAGCGUUGUGGAAACUAUUCGCUAAAGGGUGUUCGGGAGGCUACGCCGUAAAACAACCCCAUUUCUAAGGUUGACCUCGGAUCAGGUAGGGAUACCCGCUGAACUUAAGCAUAUCAAUAAGCGGAGGA
This 331-nucleotide unclassified non-coding RNA is filed under the name soil metagenome. Its description in RNAcentral is "partial contains 5.8S ribosomal RNA, internal transcribed spacer 2, and large subunit ribosomal RNA". The stretch from base 1 to 120 matches the Rfam family "5.8S ribosomal RNA", at positions 35 to 154 of the family's 154-position model. The record is from RNAcentral.